RNAcentral lists this long non-coding RNA (226 nucleotides) under Elaeis guineensis (African oil palm). Its description in RNAcentral is "long non-coding RNA (EGUI_LNC052787)". Lineage: Eukaryota; Viridiplantae; Streptophyta; Magnoliopsida; Arecales; Arecaceae. The record is from RNAcentral.
GGGUGUCACUGUGAGGUCCUAUGAAGAAAAAAGUAAAAAAAAAACUUACUUUCUUGCAAAAUCCUCGAUCUUGAAAUCUUAGAAUUUAUUGUAUGUGAUGCAAGUUGCAAAAAAAAUUUGUUACUUCUAAUUUUAAUAAUCAAAAUUAUUUUGAUUUAAAAUUAUAAAAAUUUUAAAAUGAUCUACAAAGAUUUUAUGAUUUAAUGUAAAAAGUUUACAUAAUAAA